Molecule: ribosomal RNA, 757 nt
Filed under: uncultured archaeon
Lineage: Archaea
Description: bacterial SSU rRNA
Rfam family: Archaeal small subunit ribosomal RNA
Source: RNAcentral
CCAAGUCGUGAUACUUCGGGAACUGAAGGUAAUAACGGAUAGAAGAUUUUUUCUGGAACGAUUGAUCUUUGAAAGUUUGCGUUAGGAUGGGGCUGCGGCUGAUUAGGUAGUUGGCGGGGUAAAUGCCCACCAAGCCGAUGAUCAGUAAGGGCUCUUAGCGGAGAAGCCCUGAGAGGGAAUCUGAGACACUAUUCCCAGCCUUACGGGGUGCAGCAGCCGGGAAACUUUUGCAAUACACGAAAGUGUGACAAAGCAAACCAGAGUGAUUCUCUAUAAUUGAGAAUCUUUUGCGGCAUGUAAAAAGUGCCGAGAAUAAGGACCGGGCAAGACUGGUGCCAGCCGCCGCGGUAAUCCCAGCGGUCCAAGUCGCAGCCACAAUUGUUGGGUCUAAAACAUCCGUAGCUUGCUUUGCAAGUCCUUUGUCAAAUCGGGCCUCUUAAGGGUCCGGCGAGCAAAGGAUACUGCUUAGCUAGAGACCGGGAGGCGUAGGAAGUACAGAUUGAGUAGCGGUAAAAUGUGUUGAUCCUUUCUGGACUAACAGUCGCGAAGGCGUCCUGCGAGAACGGUUCUGACAGUGAGGGAUGAAGGCUAGGGGCGCAAAGUGGAUUAGAUACCCAUGUAGUCCUAGCAGUAAACCCUGCACACUAAACAUUGGUACCUCCUCGAGAGGUAUCAGUGCUGAAGAGAAGUCGGAGAGUGUGCUACCUGGGAAGUAUAGUCGCAAGGCCGAAACUUAAAGGAAUUGGCGGGGGAGCAC